This 1210-nucleotide ribosomal RNA is filed under the name metagenome. RNAcentral describes it as "bacterial LSU rRNA". It matches the Rfam family "Bacterial large subunit ribosomal RNA", at positions 1700 to 2925 of the family's 2925-position model. The record is from RNAcentral.
CAUUGUUAAGGAACUCGGCAAAAUGACUCCGUAACUUCGGGAGAAGGAGUGCCAGUAAGAUGGCCGCAGAGAAUUGGCCCAAGCAACUGUUUAGCAAAAACACAGGUCUAUGCAAAACCGAAAGGUGAGGUAUAUGGGCUGACGCCUGCCCGGUGCUGGAAGGUUAAGGGGAGAGGUUAGCGCAAGCGAAGCUUUGAACUUAAGCCCCAGUAAACGGCGGCCGUAACAAUAACGGUCCUAAGGUAGCGAAAUUCCUUGUCGGGUAAGUUCCGACCCGCACGAAAGGCGUAAUGAUUUGGGCACUGUCUCAACAAUGCACCCGGUGAAAUUGAAAUACCAGUGAAGAUGCUGGUUACCUGCGCCAGGACGGAAAGACCCCAUGGAGCUUUACUCCAGCUUGAUACUGGGAUUCGGUAUUGCAUGUACAGGAUAGGUGGGAGGCUAGGAAAUGGUAACGCCAGUUGCCAUGGAGCCAAUGUUGGGAUACCACCCUUGCAGUACUGGGUUUCUAACCAGCAGCCGUGAUCCGGCUGGGGGACAAUGUCAGGUGGGGAGUUUGACUGGGGCGGUCGCCUCCGAAAGGGUAUCGGAGGCGCUCAAAGGUUCCCUCAGAAUGGUUGGAAACCAUUCGAAGAGUGCAAAGGCAGAAGGGAGCUUGACUGCGACACCGACGGGUGGAGCAGGUACGAAAGUAGGACUUAGUGAUCCGGUGGUAUAAAGUGGGAUUGCCAUCGCUCAACGGAUAAAAGCUACCCUGGGAUAACAGGCUUAUCACUCCCAAGAGUUCACAUCGACGGAGUGGUUUGGCACCUCGAUGUCGGCUCAUCGCAUCCUGGGGCUGAAGUAGGUCCCAAGGGUUGGGCUGUUCGCCCAUUAAAGCGGUACGCGAGCUGGGUUCAGAACGUCGUGAGACAGUUCGGUCCCUAUCCGGCGUGGGCGUAAGAUAUUUGAGAGGAGCUGUCCUUAGUACGAGAGGACCGGGAUGGACUGGCCGCUGGUGUAUCUGUUGUCUUACCAAAGGCAUAGCAGAGUAGCCAAGCCGGGAAGGGAUAAACGCUGAAGGCAUCUAAGCGUGAAGCCCCCCUCAAGAUGAGAUAUCUCAUAACGUCAAGUUAGUAAGACCCCUUGAAGACGACGAGGUAGAUAGGGCAGAGGUGGAAGUGUGGUAACACAUGGAGCUGACUGUUACUAAUAGGUCGAGGGCAUAAUC